RNAcentral lists this ribosomal RNA (482 nucleotides) under uncultured bacterium. RNAcentral's name for it is "partial 16S ribosomal RNA". It matches the Rfam family "Bacterial small subunit ribosomal RNA", at positions 30 to 507 of the family's 1533-position model. The record is from RNAcentral.
AUUGAACGCUGGCGGCAUGCUUUACACAUGCAAGUCGAACGGUAACAGGCCGCAAGGUGCUGACGAGUGGCGUACGGGUGAGUAAUGCAUCGGAACGUGCCCAGUCGUGGGGGAUAACUACUCGGAAGAGUAGCUAAUACCGCAUACGAUCUAUGGAUGACAGCGGGGGACCGUAAGGCCUCGCGCGAUUGGAGCGGCCGAUGUCAGAUUAGGUAGAUGGUGGGGUGAAGGCUCACCAAGCCAACGAUCUGUAGCUGGGCUGAGAGGACGACCAGCCACACUGGAACUGAGACGCGGCCCAGACUACUACGGGAGGCAGCGGUGGGGAAUUUUGGACAAUGGGCGCAAGCCUGAUCCAGCAAUGCCGCGUGCAGGAAGAAGGCCUUCGGGUUGUAAAUUUCUUUUGUACGGAACGAAACGGCUCUGGUUAAUACCCGGGGCUAAUGACGGUACCGUAAGAAUAAGCACCGGCUAACUACGUG